RNAcentral lists this transfer RNA (67 nucleotides) under Heteropterus morpheus. RNAcentral's name for it is "tRNA-Leu". Lineage: Eukaryota; Metazoa; Arthropoda; Insecta; Lepidoptera; Hesperiidae. The record is from RNAcentral.
ACUAUUUUGACAGAAAAAAUGUAAUGAUUUUAGAAGUCAUAAAUGUAUAUUUUAUAUACAUAUAGUA